UCCGGUUUGUCACCGGCAGUCUCGUAUGAGUCCCCGGCAUUAUCCGCUGGCAACAUACGACGAGGGUUGCGCUCGUUGCGGGACUUAACCCAACAUCUCACGACACGAGCUGACGACAGCCAUGCACCACCUGUGACCGUGCCCCGAAGGGAGACCGUGUUUCCACGGCUGUCACGGACAUGUCAAGCCCAGGUAAGGUUCUUCGCGUUGCGUCGAAUUAAACCACAUGCUCCGCUGCUUGUGCGGGCCCCCGUCAAUUUCUUUGAGUUUUAGCCUUGCGGCCGUACUCCCCAGGCGGGGCACUUAAUGCGUUUGCUGCGGCACAGAACUCGUGGAAUGAGCCCCACACCUAGUGCCCAACGUUUACGGCAUGGACUAC
RNAcentral lists this unclassified non-coding RNA (379 nucleotides) under uncultured Thermoleophilia bacterium. Its description in RNAcentral is "contains 16S-23S intergenic spacer region". The record is from RNAcentral. Lineage: Bacteria; Bacillati; Actinomycetota; Thermoleophilia.